AGGGAGACAAAACAAUGAUUUUGAUGUCUGAGUAAUUUAUUCUUAGGCCGAAAUCCUGUCACCUUAGGUCGAUCGGUACCUCAGCUUUGAAGUUAAGGAUCAGCAGCAAUGUUGAUUGCUUGAUGGAGAUUUUCAGUUCCUAAACUUUGUCUAGGUCACACCCCAAAAGGGAUGAGACUCCUGGGCCAUUAGCUCAGGUGGUUAGAGCGCACCCCUGAUAAGGGUGAGGUCCCUGGUUCAAGUCCAGGAUGGCCCAUUCGGUGUUGGGGGUUUAGCUCAGUUGGUAGAGCGCCUGCUUUGCAAGCAGGAUGUCAGGAGUUCGAGUCUCCUAACCUCCACUGACCGAACUUGAUUCCCAUCUCCAAUUUUUUGGAGUUGAGCUCGAUUGGCGUGUGAUUUAGAUGUGUCCGCUGGAUGACCCCAGCUUCCUGUCAUUUCCAAGUUUUAGGUUGAAGCCUUGAAUUUGGUUGAUAAGAUGCUGGGCUCGGAUCAAAUAAUCAAGCAAUUGAUGAUUUGAUUUGAAGUUCUAGCAGAACCUUGACAACUGCAUAGGUGAGUCUGGAAAAAACAAAGCAUCUUACAGAUGCAUUGUUUUGAAUCCGAUCUUCUGAAAGGGAGAUUGGAUCUAGAACAAUGAAAAUUCUUUUGAGCAAGAGCCGAGACUCUUGAGCGUUCUUUGAUUGGUGUCGAGCCAAUCAGAGUUUGAUCUUGUUUUUAGCGAUAAAAACUUGAAAAUCUGCUUUCAACGGCGGUAAGCGUUCAGGAGGUUAAUU
Molecule: transfer RNA, 773 nt
Filed under: uncultured Synechococcus sp.
Lineage: Bacteria; Bacillati; Cyanobacteriota; Cyanophyceae; Synechococcales; Synechococcaceae
Description: 16S-23S ribosomal RNA intergenic spacer
Rfam family: tRNA (bases 266-338)
Source: RNAcentral